GCAAGUCGAACGGCAGCAUAGAGUGCUUGCUCUCUGAUUUCUAGUGGCGAACGGGUGAGUAAUAUAUCGGAACGUGACUCGUAAUGGGGAACAACUAAUCGAAAGGUUAGCUAAUACCGCAUACGACCUACGGGUGAAAGCAGGGGAUCUUCGGACCUUGCGUUAUUAGAGCGGCCGAUAGCUGAUUAGGUAGUUGGUGGGGUAAAGGCCUACCAAGCCGACGAUCAGUAGCUGGUCUGAGAGGACGAUC
Molecule: ribosomal RNA, 250 nt
Filed under: uncultured bacterium
Lineage: Bacteria
Description: partial 16S ribosomal RNA
Rfam family: Bacterial small subunit ribosomal RNA
Source: RNAcentral